UUAAAAAAUUUUAAGUUCUUUCCCCAGGGGGCCCGACCUAAGUUGCAACUUGCGAACAUGUCUUCCGCACCCCAAAGAUAUCCUACGAGCGGGAAGUAGUGGAGCUCUAGGUUGUAACUUUUGACCGUUGAAGAAAUUCAUAUAGACAUAGUUGUUGCUGUGUUCUUCUUCUUUGUUUUGUUUAUAAUUGUGUAUUUUGAUUUUUUUGGUAUGUCAUCAGUUUAACGUCAAUUAUGAUUGCCGAUGCUUGUGUUCUCCGUAUGUUUUGGUCAUAUUUGGAAUUUGAAUGAGAUGAGCUGUGGAUUUAUUUUGGUUUUUGUUUCAGGAUGAGCAAAAUUUGCCGACAAUCACAUUUUAGGUUAAUGAGUUUCGUUUUUGCUUGUUACAUGAUGAGCUGUAAUUGUUAGUGAAUUAUAUUUUAGAUUAAUGAGUCUUUGGUUUGCUGAGGUUCCGAUGUGAGUUUUGUUCUUAAACUUUGGUAAUAAUGAUCAUUUACGGAUAUGCCUGUUGUAUCGUAGAAAUUUCUAUCGCUAACAUCAAAGACAUGCGAAAGAUGGAUGUUAAAAAAUUUUAAGUUCUUUCCCCAGGGGGCCCGACCUAAGUUGCAACUUGCGAACAUGUCUUCCGCACCCCAAAGAUAUCCUACGAGCGGGAAGUAGUGUUUCUAUGCAUUAGAUGGUCUCAUUUUACGUUUUUUUAAUCAAUCUCUCUGACAAAAACUUUAUUCUCUUGGAAUCAUGUCGUCUUAUUUUAUAUAUGUUCUAUUCGAUAAUAUUAUCGUAAUUCUUCACCAAUAUUUGCAGAUUUUUCUACCACGUUCUGGUUCCUGAAUUAGGCUUAUCUUACUCAACGUGUGUGACUUCUUGAGGUUUGUUUCUGUAGACAGAUUGUUGCCUGGCCAUCGAGACUGCCUCUUGUUAGAAACACAACGUGUAGUUGUUAGUACAAGAUGUCAUGUCACGUGGCCAUAUGGUUGGGAUACCUUUUUCUGGUCAAGAGAAUUGGCAGUUCAGAGUUUUCUUUGAGUUCCAUCAUAUGUUUGAAACUCUGAACGUCCAAUCAAGCUCAAGUGGUUUGGGUUUAUGAACACCACCAGUGGACUAAUUAUUGCUUUUAUUGUUCUUCCGUCUUUCCUCAUUGCAUAAAUAGUACAGUAUGCUGUGUACAGACUUUCGAGUCUAAAGGUUUCAAAAUAAGCAGAUCUAAGACAGAAUACUUGGAGUGCAAGUUUGGCGCCGAGCCGAGCGAGGUAGGCAGGGACGUGAUGAUUGGUUCUCAGGCCAUCGCCAAGAGGGACAGUGUCCGAUAUCUUGGG
This 1315-nucleotide long non-coding RNA is filed under the name Nicotiana benthamiana. RNAcentral describes it as "long non-coding RNA (NBEN_LNC003205)". The record is from RNAcentral. Lineage: Eukaryota; Viridiplantae; Streptophyta; Magnoliopsida; Solanales; Solanaceae.